ACGCUGGCGGCAGGCCUAACACAUGCAAGUCGAGCGGUAGAGAGAGGCUUGCUUCUCUUGAGAGCGGCGGACGGGUGAGUAAUGCCUAGGAAUCUGCCUGGUAGUGGGGGAUAACGUCCGGAAACGGACGCUAAUACCGCAUACGUCCUACGGGAGAAAGCAGGGGACCUUCGGGCCUUGCGCCAUCAGAUGAGCCUAGGUCGGAUUAGCUAGUUGGUGGGGUAAUGGCUCACCAAGGCGAUGAUCCGUAACUGGUCUGAGAGGAUGAUCAGUCACACUGGAACUGAGACACGGUCCAGACUCCUACGGGAGGCAGCAGUGGGGAAUAUUGGACAAUGGGCGAAAGCCUGAUCCAGCCAUGCCGCGUGUGUGAAGAAGGUCUUCGGAUUGUAAAGCACUUUAAGUUGGGAGGAAGGGCAGUAAAUUAAUACUUUGCUGUUUUGACGUUACCGACAGAAUAAGCACCGGCUAACUCUGUGCCAGCAGCCGCGGUAAUACAGAGGGUGCAAGCGUUAAUCGGAAUUACUGGGCGUAAAGCGCGCGUAGGUGGUUCGUUAAGUUGGACGUGAAAUCCCCGGGCUCAACCUGGGAACUGCAUUCAAAACUGACGAGCUAGAGUAUGGUAGAGGGUGGUGGAAUUUCCUGUGUAGCGGUGAAAUGCGUAGAUAUAGGAAGGAACACCAGUGGCGAAGGCGACCACCUGGACUGAUACUGACACUGAGGUGCGAAAGCGUGGGGAGCAAAC
This 745-nucleotide ribosomal RNA is filed under the name uncultured bacterium. RNAcentral describes it as "bacterial SSU rRNA". It matches the Rfam family "Bacterial small subunit ribosomal RNA", at positions 33 to 773 of the family's 1533-position model. The record is from RNAcentral.